CACGCGUACCCAUCCCGAACACGACCGUUAAGCCCUCCAGCGCCGAUGGUACUUGGACCGCAGGGUCCUGGGAGAGUAGGACGCUGCCAAGC
This 92-nucleotide ribosomal RNA is filed under the name Paenibacillus dendritiformis. The record is from RNAcentral. Lineage: Bacteria; Bacillati; Bacillota; Bacilli; Caryophanales; Paenibacillaceae.